AAUCAAACCGACUGGUUGGGGCUGUCUCUUACAAAGAGGCGACCCCUCCCAGCCUCACAGAUUAACUUUUAUAGAGGUGGUUGAGCCUGGCUAUACACAGGUGGCCAAUGAGAUUGCGGUACACAGAGAAAACUGCACAGUCAUGCUAGGUCAGCAACACACAGAGAAAACUGCACAGUCAUGCUAGGUCAGCAACACACAGAGAAAACUGCACAGUCAAGCUAGGUCACACACGGGUGGCCAAUUGAAUUUCAAUUUACCCUAGUAGAUAUAUGCACACCCCACUGAUUGGAUGUCUCCACCUGGCCUGUGUCUGGGCUUCGCAAGACAGACUUCCAAGCAUGCAAAAGAAGCAUUUUGCACUGUUGUGAGUGUGAAGUGUUGAAAGACAACAGCACUAUGGCACCCGUAGUCUUCAUCAAACAAGGUAAGGGAGUUCAUCUAAGUUCUGGGCUUUAGUGGGGAGGUUAAAGCAAGUAAAAUACUUUCUGGGAUCUGAGUAAGACUAGGAUUAAAAGAAGCUGAGAAAAGAACAUCACAAUAAGGGUCCAGGCUGUCCAGGCUGGAGAUCCCAUCCAGUCAAGAGAAAUGAUAUAAGUU
This 600-nucleotide long non-coding RNA is filed under the name Mustela putorius furo (domestic ferret). Its description in RNAcentral is "lncRNA (ENSMPUG00000024104.1)". The record is from RNAcentral. Lineage: Eukaryota; Metazoa; Chordata; Mammalia; Carnivora; Mustelidae.